UACGUAGGGUCCGAGCGUUGUCCGGAAUUAUUGGGCGUAAAGAGCUCGUAGGCGGUCUGUCGCGUCGGCUGUGAAAACUCAGGGCUCAACCCUGAGCCUGCAGUCGAUACGGGCAGACUAGAGUGCGGUAGGGGAGACUGGAAUUCCUGGUGUAGCGGUGAAAUGCGCAGAUAUCAGGAGGAACACCGGUGGCGAAGGCGGGUCUCUGGGCCGUAACUGACGCUGAGGAGCGAAAGCAUGGGGAGCGAACAGG
This 253-nucleotide ribosomal RNA is filed under the name uncultured bacterium. Its description in RNAcentral is "partial 16S ribosomal RNA". It matches the Rfam family "Bacterial small subunit ribosomal RNA", at positions 524 to 776 of the family's 1533-position model. The record is from RNAcentral.